RNAcentral lists this ribosomal RNA (418 nucleotides) under uncultured organism. RNAcentral's name for it is "bacterial SSU rRNA". It matches the Rfam family "Bacterial small subunit ribosomal RNA", at positions 490 to 910 of the family's 1533-position model. The record is from RNAcentral.
GGACCGGCUAAUUCCGUGCCAGCAGCCGCGGUAAUACGGAAGGUCCGGGUGUUAUCCGGAUUUAUUGGGUUUAAAGGGAGCGUAGGCCGGAGAUUAAGCGUGUUGUGAAAUGUAGAUGCUCAACAUCUGCACUGCAGCGCGAACUGGUUUCCUUGAGUACGCACAAAGUGGGCGGAAUUCGUGGUGUAGCGGUGAAAUGCUUAGAUAUCACGAAGAACUCCGAUUGUGAAGGCAGCUCACUGGAGCGCAACUGACGCUGAAGCUCGAAAGUGCGGGUAUCGAACAGGAUUAGAUACCCUGGUAGUCCGCACGGUAAACGAUGGAUGCCCGCUGUUGGUCUGAAUAGGUCAGCGGCCAAGCGAAAGCAUUAAGCAUCCCACCUGGGGAGUACGCCGGCAACGGUGCAACUCAAAGGAAU